Molecule: long non-coding RNA, 1522 nt
Filed under: Pan troglodytes (chimpanzee)
Lineage: Eukaryota; Metazoa; Chordata; Mammalia; Primates; Hominidae
Description: long non-coding RNA NONPTRT010606
Source: RNAcentral
AUUUAAUAGGGAAUCCUUUCCGCAUUUCUUGUUUUUGUCAGGUUUGUCAAAGAUCAGAUGGUUGUACAUGUGUGGUAUUAUUUCUGAGGGCUCUGUUCUGUUCCAUUGGUCUAUAUCUCUGAUGGGAUGUAUCUCAAAAUAAUAAGAGCUAUUUAUGAGAAACCCACAGCCAAUAUCAUACUGAAUGGGCAAAAACUAGAAGCAUUCCCUUUGAAAACUGGCAUAAGACAGGAAUGCCCUCUCUCACCACUCCUAUUCAAUGUAGUGUUGGAAGUUCUGGCCAGGGCAAUCAGGCAGGAGAAAGAAAUAAAGGGUAUUCAAUUAGGAAAAGAGGAAGUCAAAUAGUCCCUGUUUGCAGAUGACAUGAUUGUCAGCCUGAGAACACCAGUGGGAUUGGCUGGAGACCUCAGCUAAAAGGACCCUCACUGGGCGGGACCUUGAGAACUAUGUGCCAGGGAGAAUUCAGAUCUCUGUUAGCCCAAGAACACCGGUGUGGGUGGCUGGAGGCCACGGUUGAGAGGUCCCUCACUGGGCAGGACCUCAAGACCUCCAUACCAGGGAGAAUUCAAAUCUCUGUCAGCCCCAAAACACUGGCAGGGGUGGCUGGAGGCCGAAGUCCUUCACUGGGCCAGACCCUGAGACCUCCAUACCAGGGAGAAUUCAAAUCUCUGUCAGCCCAAGAACACCGGUGGGGGUGGCUGGAGGCCCAACUGGGAGGUCACUCACUUGGCAGAACCUAAAGACCUCCAUGCCAGGGAGAAUUCAAAUCUCUGUCAGCCCCAGAACACUGACGGGGUUGGCUGCAGGCCCCAGUUGGGAAGUCCCUCACUGUGCAGGACCCCAAGACCGCCAUGCCAGCGAGAACUCGAACCUCUGUCAGCCCCAGAACACCAGUGGGGUUGGCUGGAGACUGCAGCUAAAAGGAUCCUCAUUGGGCAGGACCUCAAGAACUAUAUGCCAGGGAGAAUUCGAAUCUCUGUCAGUCUGAGAACACCAGGGGCGGGUGGCUGGAGGCCUGAAUUGAAAAGACCCACACCAGACAGGAAGUGGAGACCUCCAUGUCAGGAAGAGUUCAAAUCUCUGUCAGCAUGAGAACACAGGUGGGGGUGGCUGGAGGCCCCAGUUAGGAGAACCCUUACUGGGCGGGACUUCAAGAACCAAGAACUCCAUACCUGGGAGAAUUCAAAUCUCUGUCAGCCCCAGAACACUGGCGGGGGUGGCUGGAGGCCCCAGUUGGGAGAUCCCUCACUGGGCAGGACCUAAAGACCUCCAUGUCAGGGAGAACUCAAAUCUCUGUCAGCCUGAGAACACCAGUGGGAUUGGCUGGAGACCCCAGCUAAAAGGACCCUCAUUGGGCGGGACCUUGAGAACUACGUGCCAGGGAGAAUUCAGAUCUCUGUCAGCCCAAGAACACAAGUGGGGGUGGCUGGAGGCCACGGUUGAGAGGUCCCUCACUGGGCCAGACCCCGAGACCUCCAUUCCAGGGAGAAUUCAAAUCUCUGUCAGCCCCAGAACACUGGCA